UCGAUCUUCCUGCUGCCUACCCAA
Molecule: non-coding RNA, 24 nt
Filed under: Arabidopsis thaliana (thale cress)
Lineage: Eukaryota; Viridiplantae; Streptophyta; Magnoliopsida; Brassicales; Brassicaceae
Source: RNAcentral